This 655-nucleotide ribosomal RNA is filed under the name uncultured archaeon. RNAcentral describes it as "bacterial SSU rRNA". It matches the Rfam family "Archaeal small subunit ribosomal RNA", at positions 321 to 978 of the family's 1478-position model. The record is from RNAcentral.
CCCUAUGGGGUGCAGCAGUGGCGAAAACUCCGCAAUGUGGGCAACCACGACUGGGGAACUCCCAGUGCGCACGUUUUACGUGCGCUGUUCUCCGGCCUAAAAAGCCGGAGGAGUAAGGGCCGGGUAAGACGGGUGCCAGCCGCCGCGGUAAUACCCGCGGCCCGAGUGGUGUUCAUUAUUAUUGAGCCUAAAACGUCCGUAGCCGGCUCGGUAAAUUCCUGGGUAAAUCGGGUCGCUCAACGAUCCGAAUUCCGGGAGGACUGCCGGGCUCGGGACCGGGAGAGGUCGGAGGUACUCCGGGGGUAGGGGUAAAAUCCUGUAAUCCUCGGAGGACCACCAGUGGCGAAGGCGUCCGACUAGAACGGAUCCGACGGUCAGGGACGAAGCCCAAGGGCGCAAACGGGAUUAGAUACCCCGGUAGUCUUGGGUGUAAACGCUGCAGGCUUGGUGUCGGGGGUCCUACGGGGGCGCCCGGUGCCGGAGCGAAGGUGUUAAGCCUGCUGCUUGGGGAGUACGGUCGCAAGACUGAAACUUAAAGGGAUUGGCGGGGGAGCACCGCAACGGGAGGAGCGUGCGGUUCAAUUGGAUUCAACGCCGGAAAACUCACCGGGGGCGACCCUCGCAUGAAGGCCAGGUUGAUGACCUUGCCUGAUUC